This is an RNA transcript of Xiphophorus hellerii (green swordtail), 5516 nucleotides long. It is a transcript of the gene named zinc finger protein 106a, with no coding region annotated. The record is from RefSeq and is a predicted model, not a curated record. NCBI's taxonomy places the organism in Eukaryota, Metazoa, Chordata, Actinopteri, Cyprinodontiformes, Poeciliidae. The transcript has 22 exons.
UGUUCGUUGCUCCUACACAGACUGUGCUCUUGAACGCAUCACAUGAUGUGGUCCAAAGGAGGAUGUUGUUGUUAGCUUCUGCAGGAAACACACUAUUGCACACAUUUGGAGCUUAUAAAGUGAUGGGCUGAAAUCCACCUGCAUUCAAGAUGACGAGACACAGACAGUGCAUCCUGUGUGAAACCGUCUGCGCUUCCAAGCAGGAGAUGGACGAGCACAUGAGGAGCAUGCUUCACCACCGGGAGCUGGAGAAGCUUAAGGGCCGGGACUGCGGACACGAGUGCAGAGUGUGUAAGGUGAAGGUGGUGAGCCUGACCGAUUACGCCGGCCACAUCUCCAGCACCACGCACAAACAAAACGUGGAGGCGGCGGACAAACAGCGGGCCGGAAACGACCACGACGAGGAAUACUUCGACCAGACGCUGGUGGACUUGAUCGAAAAAAGAAAAGAACAGAUCAGAAAAGAGAAGGAGGCUGCAGCUGCUAGGCUGGCGAAAGAAGAAGAAGAACGGAAGAGGAAGGAAGAGUUUCAGCAGAGGCUAAACCAACUUAAGGAACGUUACCGCCUGGAGCGUAUGUGGCAGGCUCCUCCGCAGGGCUUCGGUGGACCCGGUCACCACAGGUCUUGGCACAGGAGCAGCUAUUAUGAUGACAGCAGAGAGGAGGCGAGACACUGGCAUCAAAACCAACAGUGGAGGAGUGCCACGUGGCACGCUCAGGAACCCCCCCGUUUACAGAAAUGGGCAACUGUAGAGUUUUCCAAUAAUAAUUCAUAUCCUGUGAAUAGCAACAGGACAUGGGGCAAUGGCGGUCAGCAAAGUCGACUGCCUUGGCUCAGCAAUGGAGGCAGCAGUAAUGGGCUCUAUGGUCACAACAACAUCGCCAGGUAUGCCCCAAAUGCUAGGCCGCACAGUUUCAUGGGGUGUAAUCCUGUAUGUACCAACGCUGCAAAUUUUUUAGGCCAGACUUUUACCCACUUUGAAGGUAAAGGAAAUGUCAGAAAUGCUCAGCGGGAUGCCAGGCUUCAACAUGGAGAGGCAUCACUGGCCGACUCAGACUACCACAGUAAAAACUCUAAAACACUCGGCAGCAAUCCAAAGCUAGACAAAAGCUGUCGCUGGUCACCGUACCCCGUUGCGUCCGGAUCACACGUAGAGACCCACCAAAAUACGUCAGAGAAGCACCAAAUGGCUUCGAAGCCUCAGAGACAGCCCCAAUGUGAGCGCGCACCUGUGGACUCAAGUCUGCAAAACGUGGAAAAGGACGGGAGUCAUCCGAUAAAACCCACAACCCAAACCCAGCAUGUCAGUGACGGAAGCUGUAGCGGCACUAAAGGUAACGGUUCUCAGAGAGAUGGCGACCAAAACGGUGCGUCUGGGUUUUCUGGUGAGAAGGCAAAUAAACCACCACUGCAAGUAGAUCAGAAGAGUUCCUCAGUUUCUGGGGCUAAAGGCGCCGCUCAACACAGCAAGGUCUCCAGUCAAUCAAAACCAGGUGGGAAGCAAAGUGGGACCAAGGUGCCUGAUGGGUACCUCACAUCGAGGCAGGAGAAGUGCUCUCCGGAGUCUUUUCGCUCAGUCAGGCAGAUUGGUUUUGAAAGAAAAGGCUCUUUGGAAAGAACACACCACCUUGGGGAGCAACAGAACCAGGGGGAACCUUUAAAAGAGAGAAGUGCGAGUGAAAGUUCUGGUAAAGUGACAUCACCCGUUGUGUUCAGGCAAGAAAAAGCUCCGUCGGCUUCUGCAGAAGACGGCACGUUUGUCCAGUCUCUUCACGUGAGCACCUCUACCACAGAAGGAGUAGAGUCUGCUUCUGCAGCCAAAAGGGACGAGGAGAACAGGAACGGAGCGGAGACGCAAAGCCCCACGGCGGUACAGGCCGAGGCCAUGCAGGUUUCCGAGGCCGGGCAGAGCUCGGAGAGCGACGCCGGCAGAACCGGUGAGGCGCACGCCGCCUCGGGGUCGGACGCAACCGCUUUGUCCAAACUCGACCUCCCCCCUGUCCUAAAGUGGGACCUCACCAAGCACAUGAACUCUAAGAGCAAAGCAGCCGGUCACGAGCCAAACCUGAACAUUGCCAGACGCGUGAGAAACCUAAGCGAGUCGAAGCGAAGCGACACGGAAAAGGAUUCUGGCCUCAAGCCGACCGUGAGGCAACUCAUCAACUCGGCGAGCGCACGCCGCUCUGUGAACUGGGAGCAGGUUUAUCAGGAGGUCCGAAAGAAGCAGGACAAGGGGAAAGGCAUGCCAAGGUUUGGGAUUGAGAUGGUGCCAUAUGAGCAGGAGUCCCAAAGCCAGGAGGAGGACGGUCUACCCCUCAUUGAGGGUUUCCAGUGGGAGUCGUUGAUGGAAAUCACUUCCGAGAGCAAAUCUCGCAAACGCUCCUUGUCAGAAAGCAGUCUCGCACCUGCGGCGCCUCAUUCGUCAGUGUUCGGAUCCUCGAAAUCAGAGGAGACGGUGGAGAAGGAGGAGUCCGGGUCUACACUUCCUUCCGCUUCAGAAACGCAGGAGCGUCAGCCGGAAGAGGAAGUGAAGAACCAGAAGGACAAUCUACACUGCACAAUGGCGAAGGUUCUCCAGCGAGUUGAUUUGACGCUGGGGGACAGCAGCUCCGGGGCGGAGCAGUACGACGGGACGGGGAAGCGGCGGCGUGCGGCCGGGGACUCUACCCAAACAGGAUUGUCUUGUUUGGAGCACGACAGUAAAAGAAGAAAAGUCAAAUCAAAACGAGAGCGCUUGCAGAUCGACCAGCUGCUUGCAGUGUCUCUGCGGGAGGAGGAGCUGAGUCGGUCCUUGCAGAAUGUGGACACCAACCUGAUCCAGGCCCGCGCGGCGCUGGAGGCGGCCUUCGUGGAGGUGCAGCGACUCAUGGUGGUUAAACAGCAGAUUACUGUGGAGAUGAGCUCACUGAGAAACAAACGGAUAGAUUUGCUUAAAGGCAUGCAAGGUACUAUUGAGGAGGCGCCUGAGGCCAACCCGAAAGAAAAACACUUGGAUUCUUUUGGAGCGUUGCCGCUUGAAUCGUCCUCCUGCGUCAAAUGUCCCCCAGUUCCUUCCACCGUCGUUUUCAGUCCGAAUCGUGGCGCAGAGUGCGCCUCCCCUCCUUCCUCCAGCCUUCCUUUGGACGUCGUCAUCAAGGAGGAGCCCCAGUCUCCGGUCUGCGUCAGCUCCGCACCGGACCCUGAUCACAACGUAACCAACUGUGCUCACAGCACCACCCCGGACAACACAAACCCGUUGGGUGCUGCCUGCAGCUCGGGGUUAUCUCUUGACAGAAACCUUGAACCUCCAGACAGAAAAGGGAAGUUACCAGCACCGAUCGAAAAAUCUGAAAGGCCUUCGGAGGCUCCAUGGAAAACCUCGGCGAAGCUCCCCGAUGGCGCCGACGUCCGGCCUGCGCAACCCGCGGCGGCGUUUAACCUGCCGGUCUCUCCGUCUGAGCUGAGGAGCGGAAAGCGCGUGAGGAAGCUGAAGAAGAGGAAGGUGUUGAACAAGGCUCAGGGAGCGGAGCAGCUCCAGAGCAGCGACACAGAGAUGGACGAAGAGGCGUCCAGGCCCCGGUGGCUGCGGCAGCGCAGGAGGCCGAGCGGCGGCUCCCAGGUCAGCACCUCCAGCCUGCCGACGGACGAGGGGAGCAGGGAAACGCUCGGCGCGCCGUGUUUGGCCGUAAAAACCGAAAACGCGGAGUGGAAUUUUCCCGCAGAGAACUUUGAGGUCGCCGCGGCGGAUCAGCAGCCUCAGAAGGAUGCGUUCGUCCAAGCUCCGCCCCCUCCACCUCUUCUCCCAGACCAAUGUAAAUCUGAGCCACGCAGCCUGGCGUGCAACGAGGUUUCCUCCACCAGUGACAUCGAUCUGUGCAAAUCCUCUGAGAGUGAUUUGCCUUUUCCCAUCACGCUGCCCAGGACCUCAUCAGACGCAUUCUCUGACCACGGGGAGGACGAGGUCCCGACUGAAGGAACGUUCUCCGGCCACAAGGAGGCGGUGAAUGCCCUCCAGAUCCACAACGGGCUGCUGUACACUUGCUCCGGGGACCGAACCGUCCAGGCCUUCGACCUGGUGAGCCAUAAAUGCGUAGGUGUAUUUGAGGGUCACAGCUCCAAAGUGACCUGCCUGCUGGUGUCCGCGGCUCCAUCCCUGCACCGUCGCCUCUACUCCGGUUCCAGUGACCAGACCAUCCGCUGCUACAGUCUCAAGACGCGAGAAUUCGAGCAACAGUUCGCUUUGUCCGACCGAGUCCUCUGCCUUCACAGCCGGUGGAAGACUUUAUACGCCGGUCUGGCAAAUGGUACCGUGGUGACCUUUAACCUUAAGACAAACAAGCAGAUGGACGUGUUCGAGUGCCACGGGCCGCGCGCCGUGAGCUGUCUGGCCUCGUCGCAGGAGGGGGCCCAGAGGAUCCUGCUGGUCGGCUCCUACGACAACACGAUCAGCGUGAGAGCGGCCCACAACGGGCUGCUGCUGCGCACGCUGAAGGGCCACACCAAGAGCGUUCUCUGCAUGAAGGUGGUGAAUGAUCUGGUGAUCAGUGGAUCCAGUGAUCACUCUGUGUAUGCUCACAACAUCCAUACAGGGGAGCUUCUGCGCUCAUUUAAGGGUCACAGCCAUGCUGUUACCGUGGUGACCGUUCUUGGGAAAGUGAUGGUCACGGCCUGCCUGGACAAAGUGGUCAGAGUUUACGACCUGCAGACUCAGGACCAGCUGCAGGUCUAUGGUGGAUACAGUGACAUGGUGUUGUGCAUGGCCAUCCAUAAGAACAUGAUCUACACAGGAUGCUAUGACGGCAGCACGAAGGCCGUGAAGCUGAACCUGACGCAGAACCACCGUUGCUGGUCAAUGACUGCUGUGUUGACAGUGGCACGGCUGCCCGCUGGUGUUCGGGAUGAUGAAGCAUCUCCAGCAGCACCUGAUCAACAACCACACCAGCGGCAACUUCCAGACCUUUAAGUGCCGCUGGAAAAACUGUGAAGAGUUCUUCAGUGUACGCAACAGCUCCAAGCAGAUGGUGACGCUGCACAUGCAGAAACAUGCUGAGGAAGAGGCUGCAGCGGAGCCGUAAGGGGCCGGUGGUGGGAGCGUAUUUUCACUAUUAGCCCCCCUCUCCCUCUCUUCCCGUCUCAUCUUAACCCCUCCCUCAUUUAGCCUCCCAUAUUGGGUGGGGUAUUUGUUCUCGGGACCUUCUACACCUAACCGCGCUCCCUCGGAGCCCGACGAGCGUUUGACGACUCCAUCCUUUAUGUCCGGCGUUGGAAUCCAGCCCGAGGUUCCGCCGCGAAAAGGAAGGGCGGGUUGUGUUGUUUUUAAAAUACAUUCUCAGAAACACUCCUUCCUGUCCUUUUGUUCGACUGUCACUGACCAAAGCGAGAGAAAGAAACACGCAACUGUUUUUUUUUUUUUAUUAUUAUUAUUGAUGAAGAAACUCCAGCGAUGUCCAGGUCGGUGGGAUCUGUUGCACUUUUUUUUUUUCUUCUUUUUUUUUUGCAACUUUAACAAAAAAAUCUAGAAUUAUCACUCAGAUUC